RNAcentral lists this non-coding RNA (29 nucleotides) under Mus musculus (house mouse). The record is from RNAcentral. Lineage: Eukaryota; Metazoa; Chordata; Mammalia; Rodentia; Muridae.
UAAUUAUUGAAGUUGUCGAUACAUCCAGU